RNAcentral lists this ribosomal RNA (433 nucleotides) under Ameiurus sp. OKNBlk1. RNAcentral describes it as "partial 12S ribosomal RNA". It matches the Rfam family "Bacterial small subunit ribosomal RNA", at positions 768 to 1400 of the family's 1533-position model. Lineage: Eukaryota; Metazoa; Chordata; Actinopteri; Siluriformes; Ictaluridae. The record is from RNAcentral.
CAAACUGGGAUUAGAUACCCCACUAUGCUUAGCCUUAAACCCAGAUGUAUUAUUACACACACAUCCGCCCGGGUACUACGAGCACAGCUUAAAACCCAAAGGACUUGGCGGUGUCUCAGACCCACCUAGAGGAGCCUGUUCUAUAACCGAUAAUCCCCGUUAAACCUCACCACUUCUUGUUAAUCCCGCCUAUAUACCGCCGUCGUCAGCUUACCCCGUGAAGGGCCUAACAGUAAGCAAAAUGGGCCCACCCAAAAACGUCAGGUCGAGGUGUAGCGUACGAAGUGGGAAGAAAUGGGCUACAUUUUCUACAACUAGAAUAUUAAACGAAUGGCACUAUGAAAAUUAUUGCCUGAAGGUGGAUUUAGUAGUAAAAAGCAAACAGAGUGUCCUUUUGAAUUAGGCUCUGAGACGCGCACACACCGCCCGUCAC